GAUGAAGAACGUAGCGAAAUGCGAUAAGUAGUGUGAAUUGCAGAAUUCAGUGAAUCAUCGAAUCUUUGAACGCACAAUGCGCCCCUUGGUAUCCCGAGGGGCAUGCCUGUUCGAGCGUCAUUUCACCACUCAAGCCUGGCUUGGUGUUGGGCGACGUCCUCUUUGGGGACGCGCCUCGAAACGCUCGGCGGCGUGGCACCGGCUUUAAGCGUAGCAGAAUCUUUCGCUUUGGAAGUCGGGGCCCCGUCUGCCGGAAGACCUGCUCGCAAGGUUGACCUCGGAUCAGGCAGGGAUACCCGCUGAACUUAAGCAUAUCAAUAAGCGGAGGA
RNAcentral lists this unclassified non-coding RNA (329 nucleotides) under soil metagenome. Its description in RNAcentral is "partial contains 5.8S ribosomal RNA, internal transcribed spacer 2, and large subunit ribosomal RNA". The stretch from base 1 to 120 matches the Rfam family "5.8S ribosomal RNA", at positions 35 to 154 of the family's 154-position model. The record is from RNAcentral.